RNAcentral lists this ribosomal RNA (459 nucleotides) under uncultured bacterium. RNAcentral's name for it is "partial 16S ribosomal RNA". It matches the Rfam family "Bacterial small subunit ribosomal RNA", at positions 338 to 795 of the family's 1533-position model. The record is from RNAcentral.
CCUACGGGUGGCAGCAGUGAGGAAUAUUGGUCAAUGGUCGGGAGACUGAACCAGCCAAGCCGCGUGAGGGAUGAAGGUACAGAGUAUCGUAAACCUCUUUUGUCAGGGAACAAAUGCGGGGACGUGUCCCCGGAUGAGUGUACCUGAAGAAAAAGCAUCGGAUAACUCCGUGCCAGCAGCCGCGGUAAUACGGAGGAUGCGAGGGUUAUCCGGAUUUAUUGGGUUUAAGGGGUGCGAAGGCGGUCUGUAAAGUCAGCGGUAAAAGCCCGGGGCUCACCCCCGGCCCGCCGUUGAAACUGGCAGUCGCGAGUUGGAGAGAAGUAUGCGGAAUGCGCGGUGUAGCGGUGAAAUGCAUAGAUAUCGCGCAGAACUCCGAUUGCGAAGGCAGCAUGCCGGCUCCACACUGACGCUGAGGCACGAAAGCGUGGGUAUCGAACAGGAUUAGAUACCCGAGUAGUC